GGGAUUAAGAUACCAUGGAUAGUCCCACGCCGUAAAACGAUGAGUACUAGGUGUCGGGGGGAAGACCUCGGGCCGAAGUUAACACAUUAAGUACUCCGCGUGGGAAGUACGCUCGCAAGAGUAAAACUCAAAGGAAUUGACGGGGAUCCGCACAAUCAGCGGAGCAAGUGGUUUAAUUUGAAGCAAACGAGAGGAACCUUACCUAAACUUGACAUACCAAUGACAACCUUUUAAUCGAGGACUUUUACCUUCGGGUAGACAAUGGAUACAGGUGGGGCAUGGUUGUCGUCAGCUCGUGUCGUGAGAUGUUGGGUUAAGUCCCGCAACGAGCGCAACCCUUGCCGAUAGUUACCAGCAGUAAGAUGGGGACUCUAUCGAGACAGCUAAGGACAACUUAGAGGAAGGUGGGGAGGAAGUCAAAUCAUCAUGCCCCUUAUGUUUAGGGGUACACACGUGAUACAAUGGUCAUUACAGAGAGAAGCGAAACUGCGAAGUCAAGCAAACCUCAAAAAGAUGAUCCAAGUUCGGAUUGUAGGCUGAAACUCGCAUACAUGAAGUUGGAGUUGAUAGUUAUCGAGAAUCAGAAUGUCGCGGUGAAUGCGUUCCCGGGUCUUGUACACACCGCCCGUCUCACCAUGGGAGUUUGGGGGGCCCUAAAAGUCAGCGACUCAACCGCAAGGAGAGAGCUGCCCAAAGGCCCUUUUUUUUUAAUUUCGGGGAGU
Molecule: ribosomal RNA, 722 nt
Filed under: uncultured bacterium
Lineage: Bacteria
Description: bacterial SSU rRNA
Rfam family: Bacterial small subunit ribosomal RNA
Source: RNAcentral